AGAAGUGAGCAGACCGCUUGGGAGGACUCACUGGUGGCAAGGUCACAGCCGAUGGCUUCUGCUGACCAGAGAGCUCAAGGGUCUGCAAAACGAGAUGCAACUCCUGGGGAACCUUUAGGAUUUAGUCCAGUCUGGGAUUUUCACAGACGCAUCGCCUGGGGGAAAUUCAUGAACAGUGGCCAGACCUGCGUGGCCCCUGACUACAUCCUCUGUGACCCCUCGAUCCAGAACCAAAUUGUGGAGAAGCUCAAGAAGUCACUGAAAGAGUUCUACGGGGAAGAUGCCAAGAAAUCCCGGGACUAUGGAAGAAUCAUUAGUGCCCGGCACUUCCAGAGGGUGAUGGGCCUGAUUGAGGGCCAGAAGGUGGCUUAUGGGGGCACCGGGGAUGCGGCCACUCGCUACAUAGGUGCGUGACCCCUGAAGAGCACAGCCCACCUGCCCAGGCUGCAGGGGUCCCCAGCCAGUUCACAGCAAGUGGGCACAGAUACUUGAUAAGCAGACGUGACCUCGGGAUGGGUAUAAAUUGCUUUCACCAGGGAGCCUGGGGUAGACUCUAGCAGGCAGGGG
Molecule: small RNA, 567 nt
Filed under: Pan troglodytes (chimpanzee)
Lineage: Eukaryota; Metazoa; Chordata; Mammalia; Primates; Hominidae
Description: retained intron
Source: RNAcentral